AUUGAACGCUGGCGGCAUGCCUUACACAUGCAAGUCGAACGGCAGCGGACCUUCGGGUGCCGGCGAGUGGCGAACGGGUGAGUAAUAUAUCGGAACGUACCUUUCAGUGGGGGAUAACGUAGCGAAAGUUACGCUAAUACCGCAUAUUCUGUGAGCAGGAAAGCAGGGGAUCGCAAGACCUUGCGCUGAUUGAGCGGCCGAUAUCAGAUUAGCUAGUUGGUGAGGUAAAGGCUCACCAAGGCGACGAUCUGUAGCGGGUCUGAGAGGAUGAUCCGCCACACUGGAACUGAGACGCGGUCCAGACUCCUACGGGAGGCAGCAGUGGGGAAUUUUGGACAAUGGGCGCAAGCCUGAUCCAGCCAUGCCGCGUGAGUGAAGAAGGCCUCGGUUGUAAG
Molecule: ribosomal RNA, 395 nt
Filed under: uncultured bacterium
Lineage: Bacteria
Description: bacterial SSU rRNA
Rfam family: Bacterial small subunit ribosomal RNA
Source: RNAcentral